This 476-nucleotide ribosomal RNA is filed under the name uncultured bacterium. Its description in RNAcentral is "SSU rRNA". It matches the Rfam family "Bacterial small subunit ribosomal RNA", at positions 26 to 518 of the family's 1533-position model. The record is from RNAcentral.
AGGACGAACGCUGGCGGCGUGCUUAACACAUGCAAGUCGAGCGGAAAGGCCCUUCGGGGUACUCGAGCGGCGAACGGGUGAGUAACACGUGAGCAACCUGCCCCUGGCUCUGGGAUAGCCUCCGGAAACGGGGAUUAAUACCGGACAUGACUCCUGACCGCAUGGUUGGGGGUGGAAAGUUUUUCGGCCAGGGUGGGGCUCGCGGCCUAUCAGCUUGUUGGGGGGGUGACGGCCCACCAAGGCGACGACGGGUAGCCGGCCUGAGAGGGCGACCGGCCAACGACUGGGACUGAGACACGGCCCAGACUCCUACGGGAGGCAGCAGUGGGGAAUAUUGCGCAAUGGGCGGAAGCCUGACGCAGCGACGCCGCGUGCGGGAUGAAGGCCUUCGGGUUGUAAACCGCUUUCACCAGGGGCGAAGCGAGAGUGACGGUACCUGGGGAAGAAGCGCCGGCUAACUACGUGUCAGCAGCCGC